AGGGGAGCAGAGUGUCUUUAUUCUGAUAAUAUGUACUUUUAUGUCCAAGGGGUGAUGGAAAGAUGAGAUAAAUGCUUCAAUUUUUUAAAAAGGUAUUAUAGUAAAAGACAUGUUGCCAAGAAUGAUGAUAUGUGUAUCUAAGGGGAAACUAAUGGCAAUGUGCCUUUUACUGUACUAAAUUUUUAAAUUUCAACAUUUAACAUGUUUUAUGAUUACCCCUCAUCGAUCAGACAUUUAUGGCAAUUUCUAUCAAAUAACAACACGACAGUGCGUCCUCGUCCACCUCAUCCCCCCGAUCCGGCACUCCUCAUCUUCAGGUUCCUCCUCCAAGUCUACAUGGCCACAAGAGGCCAGCUUUUUUAAGUGAUUUGAAACCUUAAGGGCUCCACACAGCAAAACAAUGGCAGAAGAGGACUCCUUUCCAGAGCUGCUUCAGGCAGGAAUGCAGGCGAAUUUGAAGCCGGAAGUGGGAGAGGGAGGGUUCUGAGGGAGGUGAAUGGCAACCUGGCUUAACUAAUAAUUCUUUUAAAUUUAAACACUCACCAUAUUUUUGAUCCUACCUCUCCCACAGUAAAACCCUACUCUCGCGGCAAUCCGGGUCAACAUACUUUUAACAAAGACGCACUUUGGUGAAGCCAGGUGCCAGAUGCCAAGACCCUCUUUGCCCCACAAGGACCUCAGAGAAACUGCAGAAGAAAUGAUAACGGCGACAUGAAUUUUUACAGAGUUAACGGAGACAUUCAGAAGGCAAAGUCCCGCACCACCUACACACAAUUUCCGCUGCUGUUGACGUCUUCCAUCAAAGUGGGGCAGCUCCUCGCCGUCGGAUACCGCUGGACCCAGUGUUGGACAGUGGGGCCAACAGAAGUCCCUGCUUCACUGACUUCCCUUCCGCCAGGACCCCGUGCUACAUUUACUCUGCCUCCUGCGCCUCUCCGUGGUGACAGAUUCUCAGACUUCCCUUGGUUUGGGUGCCUUUGACAGAGCUGGGAAGCCCUGCUCAGCUAUCUUGCAGAAUGCUCUUCCUUGGGGCUUUGUUUGAAUUUCAUUCUAGUGAAGAGGCUGGAGUUUGGGGUUUGAGGGGGAAGAUCGGGAGGCAGAGGGCCAUCCUCAUCUUACCCAGAGGACAGAACAUCAGCUCUUGGUGUGAACCCUGACUGCCUGGCUCAGGGAAACUUGGUCCGCUUUUCCCACUGUGAAGCGCUCCUGCCACGGAGGGAGCUGCAGAGCAGGAAGCUACGCCCCACCAGGGUCUACAUCUAGAACAUCCCCAAAAAGUCUCAUGUGCGUGGAAGGUGACUGGAUCUUUGGGCAGCUGCAGUCCUCAGUGGAUUCACCUGUCGCUGAGUGCAGUAGCUGAAUAUGCCCUUGGGAGGUGGGAACUGGCUGGAGGUGGAUCUCGCCCUCCUUCCUGGCCUCUCCUUCUUUAAAUUGCAGGUGUUGAGAACGUGGCUAGUGCAGCCCUCUGUUGGACAGAAUGUUUCUAACAGAAGGCUCAGAGGUCAAGAUUACUGAAACAAACUCAACGAGCACAAGUAGAUGAUGAAAUGGCAUUGGCAUUGUAUUAUUUUCCUGAGGCGCUGAGAAAUGAAGAAUUCAAUGGCUGCUCACACAUCAGGGCCAUGGCCUUGACCGCUAUUGAUUCUGCAUCCUGGGCACAAGUGUAAGCCGGGCAACAAAGCAGACAGUGCCUCAGCAUGCCUGUGACAGUGGCUGUAAUGCUGUGGGCCCUCAAAGGGGACUAGGGGCCCAUGGAGUACACUCCGGAAUGACGCUUUCAGGGGCUAAAUUUAGCUUCCUCCAUCAUUUCGUCCUUAAGUCCCCAACUCUCCCAGGGAGAAUCCAGAUGGCCCAAAUGGGGCCGGCUCGCUCCUCUCAGGAUCCGCACCGACUCUCCACCUGCCUCUGUCCCACCUGUCCCCGUGCCCCAUGCCCGCUAGCUAAUGGGUAGGAACCAGAAGAUUCACACAAACAUCUCCAACACUGCCCACCCCAGGUCCAAGUCAGAAACGUCACUCUCACCUUCCCCGGGUUCGUAUGGUUGUCAUUGUUCCCAGGUUGUGCAGCUGUGUCUAUCUUCUUUCUUGCUAAUUUACAGGACACUGUUAAGCAUGCUCAUAUGCCAGUCCCUGGACUAGUUACCCCAGUAUGCUCUUUGUUAGAACACAGAAGUCUCGCCAGCCUUUCCAGGCAAACAAACAUUAACCCUUUCCCCCCUGAGUCUCAAAAAUGUUAUUUUAAGCCAGAGCUAAAUGAUUCGCAUUUAUAAGCCUACUUAUUAAUUACAUUACUUCUAAUUAAGGAAGUUUCCAAGGUCACUUUUCCAACUGAAGUUUCU
RNAcentral lists this long non-coding RNA (2338 nucleotides) under Fukomys damarensis (Damara mole-rat). RNAcentral's name for it is "lncRNA (ENSFDAG00000032297.1)". Lineage: Eukaryota; Metazoa; Chordata; Mammalia; Rodentia; Bathyergidae. The record is from RNAcentral.